UACGUAGGGUGCAAGCGUUAAUCGGAAUUACUGGGCGUAAAGCGUGCGCAGGCGGUUCCAUAAGACAGAUGUGAAAUCCCCGGGCUCAACCUGGGAACUGCAUUUGUGACUGUGGGGCUAGAGUACGGUAGAGGGGGAUGGAAUUCCGCGUGUAGCAGUGAAAUUCGUAGAUAUUAGGAAGAACACCAGUGGCGAAGGCGGCUCACUGGUCCGGUACUGACGCUGAGGUGCGAAAGCGUGGGGAGCAAACAGG
Molecule: ribosomal RNA, 253 nt
Filed under: uncultured bacterium
Lineage: Bacteria
Description: partial 16S ribosomal RNA
Rfam family: Bacterial small subunit ribosomal RNA
Source: RNAcentral